This 497-nucleotide ribosomal RNA is filed under the name uncultured bacterium. RNAcentral describes it as "partial 16S ribosomal RNA". It matches the Rfam family "Bacterial small subunit ribosomal RNA", at positions 28 to 507 of the family's 1533-position model. The record is from RNAcentral.
GAUGAACGCUGGCGGCGUGCCUAAUACAUGCAAGUCGAGCGAACAGACGAGGAGCUUGCUCCUCUGACGUUAGCGGCGGACGGGUGAGUAACACGUGGAUAACCUACCUAUAAGACUGGGAUAACUUCGGGAAACCGGAGCUAAUACCGGAUAAUAUAUUGAACCGCAUGGUUCAAUAGUGAAAGACGGUUUUGCUGUCACUUAUAGAUGGAUCCGCGCCGCAUUAGCUAGUUGGUAAGGUAACGGCUUACCAAGGCAACGAUGCGUAGCCGACCGGAGAGGGUGAUCGGCCACACUGGAACUGAGACACGGUCCAGACUCCUACGAGAGGCAGCAGUAGGGAAUCUGCCGCAGUGGGCGAAAGCCUUACGGAGCAGCGCCGCGUGAGUGAUGAAGGUCUUCGGAUCGUAAAGCUCUGUUAUUAGGUAAAAACAAAUGUGUAAGUAACUAUGCACGUCUUGACGGUACCUAGUCAAAAAGCCCCGGCUAACUACGUG